GACAGAGGGUGCAAACGUUGUUCGGAAUUACUGGGCGUAAAGCGCGUGUAGGCGGUCUGUUGCGUCGGCUGUGAAAACCCGAGGCUCAACCUCGGGCCUGCAGCCGAUACGGGCAGACUAGAGUUCGGCAGGGGAGACUGGAAUUCCUGGUGUAGCGGUGAAAUGCGCAGAUAUCAGGAGGAACACCGGUGGCGAAGGCGGGUCUCUGGGCCGAUACUGACGCUGAGGAGCGAAAGCGUGGGGAGCGAACAGG
This 253-nucleotide ribosomal RNA is filed under the name uncultured bacterium. RNAcentral describes it as "partial 16S ribosomal RNA". It matches the Rfam family "Bacterial small subunit ribosomal RNA", at positions 524 to 776 of the family's 1533-position model. The record is from RNAcentral.